Molecule: long non-coding RNA, 406 nt
Filed under: Gossypium raimondii (Peruvian cotton)
Lineage: Eukaryota; Viridiplantae; Streptophyta; Magnoliopsida; Malvales; Malvaceae
Description: long non-coding RNA (GRAI_LNC008465)
Source: RNAcentral
AUUAAUUAAGAAAUUGAAGAGAGAAGAGACCCUACCCAAGCUAGUCGAGAGAAACGACAAUGACACUUUCUUGGCAAUGUUCGGGAUCGAUCUUGGAGUUCAAGAUUUCAGAUUUGGGGCUGAUUUUAAUGAGGAAAAAUGACAGCAAUAUGAUGGAGAAUAUGUUAACAAAUCUUGUGGCAAAAAGAGAAAGAAAAAAAAAAGAAAGAGAUGGUAAAACUAGGUGUAAGUGACGACAACAAUGGAGGAAAGAAAAAAAAAUUGAAGGGAAAAGAGGAGAGGAAGAGGGUGAACGGCUUGGGUAGGUAAAAGUUGAAUUAAAUGCUGAAAAAUACAAUAAAAAUUUAUAUUUACACUUAGGGUUCAAGGGUAUGGAUGACACACACAUUAAAAAACAAGGGAUUUG